UUGGCGGCGUGGAUUAGGCAUGCAAGUCGCACGGAAAAUCUUAAUUUGAAGCUUCGGUUGAUUAUUAAGGUGGAAAGUGGCGAAAGGGAGAGUAACGCGUGGAUAUCUACCCCGGGAUCUGGGAUAGCUGCGGGAAACUGCAGGUAAUACCGGAUAAUGUCUCCGGACCAAAGGUGUGAUUCCGUCUUGGGAUGAGUCCGCGUCCUAUUAGCUUGUUGGUGGGGUAAUGGCCUACCAAGGCAAUGAUGGGUAGCGGGUGUGAGAGCAUGACCCGUCUCACUGGGACUGAGACGCUGCCCAGACACCUACGGGUGGCUGCAGUCGAGAAUCUUCCGCAAUGGACGAAAGUCUGACGGAGCGACGCCGCGUGCGGGAUGAAGGCCUUCGGGUUGUAAACCGCUGUCAGUUGGGAGGAAAUGCUAUGGGGCACUCUCCAUAGUUUGACCGAUCUUCAGAGGAAGUCCGGGCUAAGUUCGUGCCAGCAGCCGCGGUAAGACGAACCGGACGAACGUUACUCGGAAUCACUGGGCUUAAAGAGUACGUAGGCGGCUUGGUAGGUUGGGUGUGAAAUCCCACAGCUCAACUGUGGAACUGCGCUCAAAACCACCAAGCUUGAGGGAGACAGGGGUAAGCGGAACUGAUGGUGGAGCGGUGAAAUGCGUGGAUAUUAUCAGGAACACCGGUGGCGAAGGCGGCUUACUGGGUCUCUUCUGACGCUGAGGUACGAAAGCUAGGGUAGCGAACGGGAUUAGAUACCCCGGUAGUCCUAGCUGUAAACGAUGAGCACUUGUUCGAGGGGGCCUCCACACCCUCUCGGACGUAGCGAAAGUGUUAAGUGCUCCGCCUGGGGAGUAUGGUCGCAAGGCAA
Molecule: ribosomal RNA, 868 nt
Filed under: uncultured Planctomycetota bacterium
Lineage: Bacteria; Pseudomonadati; Planctomycetota
Description: bacterial SSU rRNA
Rfam family: Bacterial small subunit ribosomal RNA
Source: RNAcentral